GGGCCCAUAGCUCAGCUGGUUAGAGCAGUUGACUCAUAAUCAAUUGGUCCGGGGUUCGAAUCCCUGUGGGCCCA
This 74-nucleotide transfer RNA is filed under the name Candidatus Omnitrophica bacterium CG23_combo_of_CG06-09_8_20_14_all_40_11. Its description in RNAcentral is "tRNA-Met". It matches the Rfam family "tRNA". Rfam says of the family: Transfer RNA (tRNA) molecules are approximately 80 nucleotides in length. Their secondary structure includes four short double-helical elements and three loops (D, anti-codon, and T loops). Lineage: Bacteria; Pseudomonadati; Candidatus Omnitrophota. The record is from RNAcentral.